UUAAACAGGGGUGGGCGUGUAUCAGUCUGGAGUACUACGACCACAUCAUCAACACAAGACUCUGGUUCAAACUCAAACUCUGGUCAGUGUGUUCCAAGCAGCGAUCUUUUGCGUACCAUCUGUGUAAGUUAUUUACGUGUUCGUCCAAAAUUUAAAAGGUUGUGGUGAUAAGUAUGUUUAAAAGAUGAAGAUGGGAACUCGCCUCUUGAUCUCUGUGAAUCAGACUGGUCUUGGAUGUGAGAGAAGAAGGAUUCUGAUUGAGAUUUUGUAUUCUCUGAACUGUGUGUUCAAUGAAGGAACCUUAUUUUACUACCAUAGGACAACUGAUAUUUGUAAAGAAUAAUAAGAACAUAAACUAAAAUUUCAGUAUCAAAAUAUAAAAAUAAAGAAGAAUUACAGAGUCGAGAUAGUUAAUCUAUUUCCUUAAAUCUUUAAACGCCCCGUAGUGUGACGGUUUUAUGGCGCUCAGAUUCCCAAGAUACAAUUGCAGCAUUGUUUCUGUUUACCAUCACCGAAAAACAGAAUCUAUCGAAUCUAUUUAUGUGAUGUACUCUCAGACUCAAAAUAAAAAAAUACUAGCAUAACUAUUCUGAGUGGGAGAAAUGUUUCUUGAUUGUAUGAAUGUGUGUGUGUUUUCUAAAUGGCUCACAAACCUUUAUAUAGAAAUAUAAUGAGAAGCACAAGUUUCAUUUUUCAACACAAAAAUGAAACCUCCAUGGUGUACUAAUGGAGUUUUUAAUUCUUGUCAUUAUUAUGUGAAUUUAUUCUACAUUUUGACCAAGAAAUUAAAGAAUAAAAUUAUUAUUGUUUUGACCAAUUCAAACAAAAUAAUAUACUUUAAAAUGGAUUUCUUUUUUAUAUUUUAUCAAUAUAAAAGAUCAACAUAUAACAUCUCUUAAGAGUUUAGAAAAUUAAUCUACAACUUCUUUAGAUUUAAAUGAAUUAAAAGCAAUUUCAAAAAUUAUUACAAUUUUCUUGAAAAAUGUGUUUCAUUCUUAGAAAUUCACAUUUUACAUACAACUAUUUUCAUAGUUCUCUCAAGUUAAUUAAUAAAUCUAACUUGUAUGUUUUGGAUCUUUCCAAACACAUAUUUUGCUUUUUAGCAAAUAUACAUAUCAUUAUAAGAUAUUAUUUUGCCAUCAAAACCAUUAUAUGAUUAUUUUCAACCAUAUUGACUUUAUAAACUACAAUACACUUGUUAUUUUCAGUCAUAUUGGUCUGAAAAUUCUCUGUUUUUGCAUGGUCAAUCUUUUUACAAAUUGCAUUUAAGCAUUGAUGAAAUAUAAAUGUUUUUGAUUAAUAUCAACAAACAUUUUAUUUCCUAUGGCAAAUGAUUUAUAUGUGGUAGACCUCUCCCAAACUUAAUUUGGGGCAUCGACUCACAACCAUUUCCAUCCAUACAACUUGAUCUCUUAAAGAUCAAAAUGUUGUUUUAUAAUUAUGGUAUUACCAUACUUGAAACUUGAAUUUCUUUUUAUUUUCUCAUUGGUCACACAUGUCUUUAAUAAUUAAAUUAAAUUGUUUCAAAAAAUCUGAAACAGAAAUCAAAAACGUUAGCAUCUAUAUAUAUAUAAAAUUGUCUGCCUCUCUCCUAGGCCAUCCAGCUGGAAACUCGCUUUCUGAGGGCUUGACACGUGUCCGCUUUGUCUAAAACGCGCCGUAUCACUUAAAUUUUAAUAGAUCUGUGUUGGGCUUAAGUUUCGUUACUGGGCUUCAGUAUAAUUGCGAGAAAGCGGUCGGAGACAGGAAUUAGGGUCCGACGGUCGUCUUCUCCAAACUCAAAUGACGUUCCUGAUACCUUCAGCAGAGAAACGGAUCUGCCUUUAAUCCCAUUGAUUGGUGCCUCCACGAUGUGUCUUCAAUACGAUCCUUACGCUUCAGAGGCGGUGCGAUUUUUGCGUAUAAAUAGAUAUCACCCCUCUCAUCCUCAAUUCAUCCAGACAUCCCAACAGCUUUGACUUCAUGUUAUAAAUCGUGUGUAAUCAUCAUCUCAGUCUUCCUCUCCGAUUUGCAGAAUGGCCGCUCCUCUUCCACCGUUGAAGGCCAGGAAUAUCCGCCGUGGUGGAGAUCUCAUGGGAGUAGACAUACUCCUUCUUGAUUCUCAGGUUACUAAUUCAGCUCUGCUUUUUGUUCGUAGUGGAAUUGUUUUUGCGUUUAACUUCUAUCGCAACUUUUCCGUAAUGAAUCCAAUUUAUAAUUGUCAGUUUGUGUUUUUAUUCUCUGUUAUUGAUUUUCAUGAGUCUUUUGUCAGCUUUUGAUGAUUUUUGUGAAUUUUUUAAAUCAAACUCUUCAGUCAUAAGCUUUUUCCAUUUUUAGUGUUAUGGUUCUUCACAAGAAGAGAGAUCAAUUUUUUUUUUUUUGGUUCUGAUCUUCUUUUUUUCUGUUUCUGAAAUUUUAAUUUAAAAUUGAAUUAAUUUGACUGACGGUUACACGGCAGAUUGAUAUGUGAGUUUGAUAUUAUCCAAAGUCUUAGUUUUUUUUUUUUUACUUUGUGGUCUUCUUCUUCUUUUUUGAACCAGAACUUUGUCUUCUUUUUUUUACUUUGCCUUCUUAUGUUUGUGUGUUUAUAAGUUCUUGGUUGAUCUGUUCGAUUGGGGUUUGUUGGGAGGCCAGGAAUGUGAAGAAAAAUCUGAAACCGAAGAAGAUGAAGAACUGAGACUUAUAAAGAUUGUUUGUAAAAAAAUUGCAGUAAGCCCUUUUCAGAUCUUCAAUUGUUUUUCAGUGGUAUUUUUUCACAUUUGGUCAAUUCUCUUUUGAGCUUCUAAAAUAAAACAAAUAUUGUAUUAUUGUUGUCAAUGUGAAGUUUUUAACUCAGUUUAAUUGCGUACGUGUGUGGUAUGUCACUAGAGCAAGAUGGAGUGUGACAGAGCAAGCGGCGGAAGAGAACGACAAACGGCGGAGAGUAACACAGCACUCGGCAGUGAGCAACGCAGCACUCGGCGGAGAGAAACAAAGAAAGCGGCAGAGAGUAACUGAGAAAGUAGUGGAAGAGCAACAGAACAAUGGCGGAGAGCAAUGAACAAGAGGCAUUGAGAUGGAUCAAGUGACGGAAAGAGUGAGAUGGACAGACAUGAAACAAGCGACAGAUAGUGUGACAAGAGAUAGGAAAUGCAAUUGCUGCAGUUCAAUCUGGCACAAGGGAGGUUCAUAGGCUCUCGGACAGGGUCAAUUAAUCACUUUGUUAGCAAACAUAUAAAAAAGGUACAUGUCCAAUUGUGCUUAUUUCUUUCAAAGUAGAACCUAAUGAAAGAAAGUUGACACCUAUUGAAGAUAUCAAAGCUCUAAACAUGAAAACAUAAGAAAUUUCAAAUUCCUAACAACAUAUCAAAUCUGGAAUCUUCUUUGUAUUUGUUCAAAGUUUGUUAUAUGAAUCCUUCUUUGCAUGUGUUCUAUGUGGUUGUGCUUCGUUAUAAGUUGUCAAGCAUGUCUCUCCACAUGUUCAGUGCAUAUAUCUGUUUGAUAGGGUCAAACAAAUCAACUAUUUAAGGUCUGAAUGUAUCAUGGUACAGUUGUCGUUUCCUUGGAUUCAGACAAGAAAUAGCAAACAAACACACUGUGUGCAUAGCUUGGCGAUUGAAUUGGACUAAAUGGAAAGACUUUGGCCAGUGGAAGACCGAGGAACUAUCAAAAGAAAAAUACAUUGCAUUUUUAAAUAAUAAUAUUUUUAGCUUAAGCAUGUAUUAGAUAUAGCUCUGUAACUUUCAGUUUGUUUGUUUUUUACUUAAAAAGUAAUUUUUCUCUUUAUAUAUCACAGUUAGUGUACCAAAUAUUGAUGGAAGUUAGUUACAAAAUUAUAGACCAUGCUAGGUAUCUAUAAUAAUAAAGUUGGGUUAUGCUCUCACCACAGGCUUCCACGACAUCAAGGAGAGGGGUGCUUUUCGCGACACGUGGCGUCUCGGUAGGGUAUCCGUGUUUUUCACGCUCUCUCUUCCUUCUUGCUCUCACGCUCUCUCUUCCUCCUCGCGCGUGUCUGCGCGGUUGUUCAACCAAAGAGGUUGGGCUUCUGUCAUUAAUUUAGGCCCAAAUGUCAUUAGGUCUUCUUCUUCGUUGUUCUUCUUCUUCCCUACCUCUUUCACAGAAAGUAACGUCCCAAGGAUUUUUUCUAUGACAUUUAUUCUCAGUUUUUCCAUUUAUUAAUCCACUCCUCAUGUAUUAUGAUUACGAUCUACCUCUUCGUUCACCCUGUAACCGCCUCGACCUCCAUCUAUAAAUACCGGCCCUCACUUCCAUUCACAGCACAUCUCAAACAAUUUUCUCAGACAUACGAUCUCCUAGAAGCAACAUAUUCAGAUGGCGAAUUCGUACACUCUGCUUGCCAAUUUGAGAGCCGGCCGAUGCUCUAAUACUGCUGAGGUCCGCCUACUGAGGUUCUGGGAGGCCAGAAAUAUCAACAAAGGAGGGGAGCUGAUGAGUAUUGAGUUGCUGCUCAUCGAUGAGGCUGUAAGUGUUCUUCCCAGAUUUAAUCUCUGUUCAUAUUGUUAUUCAAAAAAAAAAAAUUGAAUUAUUUUACCCACUUCCAUCAAAAAGCGUUGAUCUUUUAGCCUGUUCUUCCCAGAUUUAAUCUCUUUGCAUAUUGUUAUUCCAAGAUUUUUUAGAAUUAUCUUACUCUCUUCCAUCAAAAAGCGUUGAUCUUUUACCAAUAAUCUUAACCUCUGUCUCUUUGCUUUUAUUUUAAACUGAUCCUGACAAAUUAUUUUCAAUAUUGAUCUGGUUUAAAGUUUUUUUUUGGGUGAAUGACUAUUUGUUGCUAUAUAUGUUUAACUAACAUCUCUAUAAAUGCCAUCAUGCAGGUGGACAGAUAGUCUCAUCCCUUCCAAUGCUUUCAGCCCCGAAGAUAUGGCCACAGAAGAACCGUGCGACAUUACGUGCAGAUUUUGUGAUGGGCUUCUUGCUAUUCAAGAUUACCCACAAGGGUUCCCGCGACCAGGUAAGGAUCAAUGCUUAGAUUAGGCGUUUUUAUUUUCCUUGCAGACACAUAUGUUAGUCUUCGUUUGUUAUUUUUUUAGUUUUUGUGACUGGUCAACCUAACAGUUUUAUGGUUAUGCAGAGAUAUCAACGGAAACGCAAAGAGUUCUGACAAGAGAGACGAUACAGAGAGCAUUUCAUGCUACAGAAGUAGGGUUAGCUUCUCAUUCUCUAAGCUGUGGAGUACAAUGCGAGUUUGGCAACUGUUGGCACUUGCUCUUUUGUUGGUGUGAUAUAUAAUAUAUCAUAUAUCAGAGUCCUCUUUUCAUGACGAGUCUUUGAGAUUAACGGGUUAUCUUAGGAAAGAACGGGAUCUGGUGGGAUCUCUGCUAUUCAGCUGUCGAGUGAACAUAAUGCUAACAAUGAGGAUGUUCGUUUUGAGCUUAAGGACUUGCAUCCUGAUGACCCGCAGAUCGUUGUGUUUAAGCAUGGAGUUGGCGAGUUAAGGGGAUCAUCCAAGUAGUUUCUCAUUCUCUCCAGCACUUGUAUUCUACUGUCAUAGAAGAAUAGGAUUCAAUGCUUAUGGAAAGAUGAUUCAAUGCCUUUCUCUUGAUACUUGGUUGUGGCUCAAGUUCUUGAUUUUGGUUAUAAUUUUGUUGUGAUGGUGCUUCUGCCUUCUCUGUGCUUUUAUGGACAGAGAUAAAUAAAAUUGUUUCUAUGUCUUUAUGUGGUUUGUCUUUGUUAGAAUUGAAAAUCAUUACAGAGGUUGCCUAUUACUUCGACUAAAAACAACUCUUUUGCAUAAUAUGCAUAUUUGGCGAGUAAUAAGGUAGUUUAUAAUUAGGGUUGCUAAUAAACAGUUGCAGUAAACAAGCUAAACUUACUUCCUGCCUUCUUUAUGAUGUGGAUACGUUAUGAUGUUCCCUUUCCCGUGUAGCUCUAAACUCAUAUGCUUAGUCUUCCUUCCACUUAAAUUUGCAGCCAAACAUCCUUUCACUUAAAGAUCACUCUGAAGCUUCUGAUGGCAUUUACUGUAAGAACUGAGCUCUUUGUUCUUUCUGCGCCUGAUAAGAGUUUUUCCUUGGAUCACUAUGUUAUGUUAUAGAACGUAUUGCCUUUUCCUUUUACCUCUCCACAUACAUAAACAACCGAGAUAAACAGGAAAAUCGGAACGUAAAGAUAUGUUUGCAAGCACCAUUAAAUGCAUGUUGUAAUUGGUGAUAUGGCUUCAAAAGGUUUUAAGAAAAUCCUAAAGUCUUGAUUUUUAUCCAAUUUAUUGAUUUAAAAGUCUUUUAACCCUUUUAAAAACACUCAAAACCACUUUUCCUUUUUUUUUGUUCAGUGAAGGAUGCUUAUUUUUUCUAAAGCCUAUAAAAGCUGGUUUUUAUUUAAAUUUUUUUUCAAAAUCAUUAAAUUUUCUAUAACUUUUAUAAACAAUAGUUCAGUUCAAAAAAAUGUGUUCUCUCUCAAUAUUUGUUUUUAAUUCUUCUUUAAAUUGUUGAGAUGUCUAACGAUGGAAAAGCUCUUAGAAUACCCUUAUCGGAGCAGAAUUUUAAAUAGAGUUCUUAGACAAUUUACGAUAUUAUUUUAAUGCAAAAUUUUUGGAUGAAAAUGAUUUUUUUUUGUCAGAAAUUCAAAUAAUGUAAAUAAUCUUUCCUAGCGAUAAUUGAAUCUUAAUGGAGGAAAAACUGUUAAUUUUAAUGUUAAUUUGUUAUGUAAUUAGUUUUUAUAUAUGAUAAGUUAACCGAAGAAUAACACAUGUAGCUUUUUUAUAAAGUAUAGCACAUGUAGCUAUAGUAUCUGGAAAUACUAAGCUAAGCUUAACCAUUUCAAUAGAAAACUGAACUUCUAUAUUCUACGGUCAAAUAAAAUAUUUAUCCAAUAAAACCAAAACUUACAUAUCUUAAUAUGUUUUAAUCAAUCAAAAUUAAUUUACAAGAAGAUUUCUGAAAAAUCCAAAUAUAUAUCAAAGAACACUUUAAAUCUAUGUAGUGAAGUGUAUAUUAGAAUACCUUACCAUCAAAUAUAUAUAUAAAAUCUAUGUCAUAUUUCAAUACAUUUUAUUAUGUUUAAGUUAUGGAAAAAUAUCAAAGAAAGUCUAUAGAUAAUGAUUUUGAGAUAAUAUAAAAUAUGAACGAUUAAUUUUUUGUAUAAAUUAGCUCUGGUGUGUUUGUUUUUAGGGUUCACUGAAUUUUGAUUUGGACUUCAAUCCUAAUAAACGCUUAGUUAUAAAUUAAAACUAUUACAAAAAAUAUUUAUGUGUUUCAUUUUGAAUAAAUUUGUUGUCUUGGUUCGAACAAGAUGAUCACAAAACAAACAACUACAUUUAUGUGUUUCAUUUUGAAACAUCAUUAAACUAUAUUUACUUUAGUGCAACUAUCAACUAUUUAUUAUAUUUUAUUUCAUUAAUUUAUAAAAUCUAUUUAUACUAUUCAUUUUUGACCUAAGCAACUAUAAAACAAAGUAAUACACUAUUAAUUACCACUAUCAAAUGGAUCACAAACUCAUUAUCCAAUCAUUAGGGAACAAAAUAUACAAACCCGGCGCGUAGCGCCGGAAUACCACUAGUAAUAGAUAUAAAGCGAGGAUGCAAGUAAUGGUUGUUUUUCUACCAUCUGAAUUGAUUACAAUUAAAAUAUUUAUUGUUUUGGAAAUGAACGACAUAAUAAUUGUUGUAUUGCAGCUGAGUUUCAAAAUUAUAGUAGCAAAUAGAGAUUCUAAGAUGUCAUCCCCAUCUGCAGAAACUAAUAAUGUCCAAAACAUCCAAUAAUAGUUUUCUCCAGUUUAAAAAAUAGAGCAUUUACACUGAAAAAAAUGUUCUCUGGAAUAUUGAACUUUUGAGAUUCUAGCGUAAUAUAUGUAUAAUUCAAAAAUAUAUCAUAAGUUAGAUCGUAUGUUAUGUGUGGUCAUGCUAAUUUUGUACUUAUUGACUAUAAAAUGCAUUUUAUUCAUGAAUGGUUAACGUUAACAACUGUAUUUGGGACAUGAAAAAAAAUACAAUAGUGUUGUACUUAAUAGAAAACGACAAUAAUUUCACAAAUAAUCCAUUUAUAAUUAAGCAUGAAAAACAGAUUUUGAACAAAAAAAUUAUUUGAUCAUGUAAACUGACGAAUUUGAUCACAACUAAAUGCAAAACAAAUACACAAAGUAAAUGCAUUAAAAGCUUUUUUAAAAUAAAGCCACAAGAACAAACGCUCCACACUUGCUAAUAUAUGCAAGAUCAAACGCUUGAAUUUUGAUAAAAAUCAGUCGUAUAAGCAUGGCUAAACCAAAAGUAAAGCAAAAUUAGAUCAUACAAGUCACACUUUUGUUUCAAAAUAAUUUUAAAAAUCAAGCGAAAGUGCAACACGACGGUUUCAACACGUCAAAAGACAAAUCAAAUCAAAUCAAAUUGUUUUUUUUUUCCAGAAAAUCUGUAACUAAUGAUCAACGCUUGAUGAUAAAGAAGAUUCACAGAAAAACAAUAGCUAAGAUUAUUACAAAAGAUCCCUGCGCAUGAUCGAUCUGAAAAGAUCAUAACAAUUGCUUUUUCAUCACCAUGAAUUCUCGAAUUCCUGUUUUUAUGAUAAACAAGAUCAGAUUCCGGCAUCUUUAACCUGUUCUUAAAAAUAAAAUUUUUUUUUUAACAAAUAUCAGUAUUGUUAGUGCAAAAGCAUAAACAAUAUUUAAAGAUUUAAGAGAUUUAAGAGUGUAGGAACCUUAUUUUACUACCAUAGGACAACUGAUAUUUGUAAAAAAUAAUAAGAACAUAAACUAAAAUUUCAGUACCAAAAUAUAAAAAUAAAGAAGAAUUGCAGAGUUGAGAUAGUUAAUCUCUUUCCUUAAAUCUUUAAACGCCUCAUAGUGUGACGGUUUUAUGGCGCUCAGAUUCCCAAGAUACAACUGCAGCAUUGUUUCUGUUUACCAUCACCGAAAAACAGAAUCUAUCGAACCUAUUUUUCUGAUGUACUCUCAGACUCAAAAUAAAAAAAUACUAGCAUAACUAUUCUGAGUUGAAGAAAUGUUUCUUGAUUGUAUGAAUGUGUUUUUGUUUUCUAAAUGGCUCACAAGCCUUUAUAUAGAAAUAUAAUGAGAAGCACAAGUUUCAUUUUUCAACACAAAAAUGAAACUUCCAUGGUGCACUAAUGGAGUUUUUAAUUCUUGUCAUUAUUAUGUAAAUUUAUUCUACAUUUUGACCAAGAAAUUAAAAAAUAAAAUUAUUAUUGUUUUGACCAAUUCAAACAAAAUAAUAUACUUUAAAAUGGAUUUCUUUUUUUAUAUUUUAUCAAUAUAAAAGAUCAACAUAUAUUUGGUUUAUAAGAUUAAGUCAAUGAACAUGAAGUCCAACUAACAAAUCAAAAAACCCAAAUCCAAGUUCAAAUAUCCAAUGUGUGUAUUUGCUACUUUAUAUAAGUUUCUCAAAUCACACACAUUAGACCUCCAUUUCUCAUUCAAAUAAAACUUCUUUUUUGACAUAUGAAUACAUUAUUCAUAAUGUUCAAAAAAUAGUUCCAACAUUCAAUGUCUUAAAAUAGAGAUGUUUCGUAUACCUUUUAUGCUGUAUAUAAAAACCAUAACAAUAUUCAACCAAAUAAAAAUGAUUUGCAUCUAAGAAAAGUGUACGCAAUGAUUUACGUGAAAAAUGUUCG
This 9533-nucleotide long non-coding RNA is filed under the name Brassica rapa (field mustard). RNAcentral's name for it is "long non-coding RNA (BRAP_LNC006753)". Lineage: Eukaryota; Viridiplantae; Streptophyta; Magnoliopsida; Brassicales; Brassicaceae. The record is from RNAcentral.